AGGGCUGUGGCUCAAGUGGUAGAGUGCUUGUCUUGCAUGCAUGAGGCCCUGGGUUCGAUUCCUCAGCGCCA
This 71-nucleotide transfer RNA is filed under the name Dipodomys ordii (Ord's kangaroo rat). It matches the Rfam family "tRNA". Rfam says of the family: Transfer RNA (tRNA) molecules are approximately 80 nucleotides in length. Their secondary structure includes four short double-helical elements and three loops (D, anti-codon, and T loops). Further hydrogen bonds mediate the characteristic L-shaped molecular structure. tRNAs have two regions of fundamental functional importance: the anti-codon, which is responsible for specific mRNA codon recognition, and the 3' end, to which the tRNAs corresponding amino acid is attached (by aminoacyl-tRNA synthetases). tRNAs cope with the degeneracy of the genetic code in two manners: having more than one tRNA (with a specific anti-codon) for a particular amino acid; and 'wobble' base-pairing, i.e. permitting non-standard base-pairing at the 3rd anti-codon position. Lineage: Eukaryota; Metazoa; Chordata; Mammalia; Rodentia; Heteromyidae. The record is from Rfam by way of RNAcentral.